Molecule: small RNA, 79 nt
Filed under: Salmonella enterica subsp. enterica serovar Muenchen
Lineage: Bacteria; Pseudomonadati; Pseudomonadota; Gammaproteobacteria; Enterobacterales; Enterobacteriaceae
Also listed under: 7 other names
Description: partial RtT sRNA
Rfam family: RtT RNA
About the family: This family represents a bacterial cis-regulatory element known as RtT RNA. The exact function of RtT is unknown although it is thought that it may be involved in changing the cellular response in relation to amino acid starvation.
Source: RNAcentral
AUAUCUCUCUGUACGGGAAGGAUGAGAAGCUUCGACUAAGGUUCGAUUCGAGCGCAGCGAGAAAGCGUUGCCGCAGGCA